Molecule: RNA transcript, 2338 nt
Organism: Cryptomeria japonica (Japanese cedar)
Lineage: Eukaryota; Viridiplantae; Streptophyta; Pinopsida; Cupressales; Cupressaceae
Exons: 10
Source: RefSeq, a predicted model, not a curated record
AUUAUUAUAUUUAAAAAAAAUUACAAUAUCCGGUUAAGCCUCACCGACUUAUUGUCGCGGUAAAAUACACAGCGCUGCACUGGGAAAAUUCGAUUUGGUAGAAGCAAAUUUCAAAAUUUCUUUGCUUUCUUCGCUGUAAAACCAACGGCUACGAAUACGGCGGUGGAACAACCAAACUCUUUCUGUGGCGACAUGGACAAAUUAGGGCAUCAGUUUUGACGAAUCGACUGUUGGAUUUGGUAAAUAUUGCCCUGAGUGUUUUCCGGCGACGGACAAUUCAACAUCCGAACUACACAGAGGGGUGGUGAAUAAUGGAGAAAAUAAUCUAUUCAGCCGAGCAGUUGGAAAUCGAAGAAGAGAAAGGAAUAGAUGCCCGUACAAAACUACGACAAAAUCUUAUACGGUUAUCCAGUCAAUUAUUGGAGAUGUUGGCAACAGCUCAACAUAAUAUUGUUGACGAAAAAACUGCAGAAAUAAAGUCUGCUCUCAAUCUUCUCUUGCCGGCAAAUGAUGGGAAGUGGUUGGUGAACGACUGUGUAGAAUUACAAGACAUUACAAACUUCUUCUUAUGCUGUGUGGCACUUGCAUCUGCUGAUGAUGAUGCUGGGGUAAUGAUGUCAUGGGUACCAAAUGAUUUGUCUGAUUUUGCAGCAAAGGCAAUCACGGAUUUAUCAAAAACUGUUUAUUCUGAUCAGGAGCAAAAUCUAAUUAAAGUUUCUUCCAGUUACCAAAUCUCAUAUCAUGAUAAGGGUUUGGAUUUGACAAAAAUAAGUUAUGAUAAGAGAUUAAUCCUAGAAUUAAUGCCCAUAACAUUGCCCUUGUUGAAAGAUGCAAUUAAAAGUACUUGCAGUAACUACAAAGAUGAUGGAUUGGAUGAAUUUAUUCCCAGUGCAUCAAAAUCUUCUGCAAUCAUAGCAUCACACCAGAUGCGUUGGUGCUUGAAACAGGUUAAACAUCCAUAUCUUGGACCAUCAUGUGCGCUCAUUAUUCCCUGUGCAUUAACAGCCUUAGAUCAUUGGUCUCCUGAUGUGAAGGUACAAGCAAUGAGUUCCUUUGUACAUUUAGCAAAUAAUCUAAAUUCUACUGAGCUUGGAUGGUACAAGGAUGCAAUUCUUGAUGCAUCUUGUCGGAGCAUACCUGGCAGUGAACAAUUUUGGCAAUCAGUAAUGGAAAUCUCUGUGACACUUGUAAUUUGCAUUGAGGGAAAGAAUCCACGUGCACACUGGUAUAGAGAACUCUUGGGUGCAAUGCUUGGGGAGAUGGAACGGCACAGUGAAGAUAAGGAACGCCGCAUUAUAUGGCUCCAGCAAAUUGAACCACUUUUCAAGGCCAUGGGACUUGUUAUUCUAGCUUUUUUCAAGCGCCUAUUUCCUCUUCUUUUUCAUUGGUUGCAUGCAAAAGAUGAUGCCACAGUGAUACUGGUUCUUAAAAGGGUUCUUACCAUUACUAAGUUGACAUGGAUUCGAAAAACACCAUACAUAGAAAGGCUGGUAGAGGAAUUGGUACUUGCACACAAGACUUCAUGGACACGGAAAUCUGGUUCUGAAUUACGUGACAUAGUAGUUCAAAUCUUGGAACUACUUAAAUUGUGUAAAGGCUUGCAAUUUGAAGAGGCCUGGAGAAAGUACAAGGAUGAUUCUAUAUCGCUGCCUAGCUCAGAUAACAAGCAUUUUCUGCACAGUAGUCAUGAGGCCCAAAUUUUGAAGGGUGUGCAUUUGAAUGAGACCUGCCCCACAGCUUAGAAGGUGUUUUCACAUAGUAUCAGUUCUCUGGGGAGUUUGGAAACCAUAUCCUAGAACUAGCCUAACCAUAUCCUACUUUUCAUGCUCUUAUUCAUGGUUCUGAGCUUUGUUAAGAUGGGAAAAGAGAAGUGUUGCCUGCAGUUUUUUUGCAGCCUGUGGAGAAAGUGCAAGGAUUUAACUUUAAAUUCGUAACAGAUUUUCCAGAAUAUGACUGCACAAUUCUGGCUUACAGGUUCUUUUUGAUGGUUCCAGUUGAGGGGUUUUGUAACAGAUCUGUUAGUGCAUAAAAGAUGGAAUUCAAGUGGUAUAACCUGUAGUGGAGCUCUGGGCCUUCUGAAGAAAAUGCCAAUAUGCAAAUACUCUCUUAGACCACAAGCGGUGGGAAUGGUCUAUUUUCUUUUAUUAAAAAAGGCAUAGAUUGCCAUUAAGUGACUUGACUACUUUGAAGGUGUAAUAUCCCCUGCUAUUAUUAACUGUAAAACAAGGAAUAUUUGUUGUCCUAGUUGCGUGUUAUGCUGUUCUGAAGUUUUGUGCGUUACGCUGACAGCGCUUUAGUUUGUAAUAUGGAUCAUUAAAUAUGAACAUUUCAUGAAUAA